This 91-nucleotide transfer RNA is filed under the name Clostridiaceae bacterium. Its description in RNAcentral is "tRNA-Ser". It matches the Rfam family "tRNA". Rfam says of the family: Transfer RNA (tRNA) molecules are approximately 80 nucleotides in length. Their secondary structure includes four short double-helical elements and three loops (D, anti-codon, and T loops). The record is from RNAcentral. Lineage: Bacteria; Bacillati; Bacillota; Clostridia; Eubacteriales; Clostridiaceae.
GGAGAGAUGGUCGAGCUGGUUUAAGGCACCGGUCUUGAAAACCGGCGUAGGUGAAAGCCUACCGUGAGUUCGAAUCUCACUCUCUCCGCCA